UUUAAGAAAAGUUGCUGGAACUAACUCAUGCAGCUGGUUGAGAAGAUGUCAAGAGUGUAAGAGUUUUUAAUAAAAAAUAGUUUGGAUUUAUUUAACACUUUGCUUGGUUGCUGCAUAAUUCCGUACGCAUCACUUCAUAGUGUUAAUGUCUGAAUUUUUAUGUUAAAAUAACAGAAAUUAGUAAAUAAUAAUAAAAAUAAAUAAAGGUGAAAAAUACCUCAUUUUAGUUCUUCAAAAGUUGUCCAAAAAAGCCUGAAAUGUUACAGGAAAUUGGAGCAAGUGAGACCAUCGACGUCUACAAAAGUCUACGAGUUGUGCAAGACGCUUGAAGUAACCGAUUAUCUAUUAAAAAAAAAUUGGCAGUGUAUCUGAGAACUGGCGCAGUUUUAUAAGGUAAAGAUGCAAAUAUAAAGGGUAUAUAUAUAUAUAUAUAUAUGACUAUAAAGUGUAGAGAUAAUGUGUCAAACUCUUAUUCACCUAAAAGUGGGAGUAUCCAAGCCAAAAUGUAUUGAAGUGAAAGUCAAAACGUUGCUACUUUUGAAUGCACUCAAGCAUUAAAGCGUAAAUGCUUUGAACCAUUGAAAUUCAUGAAGUUAACGUCAUCUUUUUUAAACGUGAAGGGUAUCUUUCAUUAAUGAUCUAAAACUGUUCGAUUAUUGUUUGAAAGCAACCACUCCGUUCUGCCUGGAAACGUCAUUCAGUGCCUGUAAGUUUGCUAAAUGUGCCUGACUCAUGCUACGUAGUUUGCUAAUGAAGUAAAAUCUUCUGUAAAUAACCAGUAUUUACCCUAAGCUACAACUUGACUUACUGAACAGUGAACAGCUGCGUUAGCUACUGGAACUGAUGCGAGUCUAACUUGAGAGAAGAAAAGACCUUUGUGAUUUGUUACGAAUGCUUUUAAGUUCUAAAUUAAAAAAAAGGUGAGGUGUAAAAAGUAUGUUUUAUUCUUUCUUGUACAUGAGGUGAAAAGUACAAUUAUUCAGUUUGAAUAACACUCAAGUAAGUAAAGCGAAUAAUAAAUAUGCCUAAAUUAUACGUGUAUUAUUGUGUACAGGAAUGAAGUACAAUUACUCAGGUAUUUUCCACCUCUGAUAAAUAUCUAUUUGAUUAUAUUUUUGUGUCUAUUGCUAAUUUAUGUAUGGUACAAAAUAGAAAGUGUUGGGUUUGUUUUUGUUUUUUUUUAAACCAUUUAUCAGUUUAAAAAAUAUAUAUAUUCUACAGUUCACCCUGCACCACGCUGAAACUCCACACACUGUACACUGCACAUUGUAUUGUGUUGUUGUUACACGUGUGUACUGCUUAUUUCGUACACGGUCUAGGGAGGAGUAGGCCAGGUUUUCAUUUCACUGCAAGUUCUAUAGCCUACUGUAUAUAACUGUGUAUGUGACAAAUAAAAUCUUGAAUCUCGAAAACUGAAUUUGGUCUUUGUUUAUUUAUUUAUUUAUUGAUGUUUUUAUGUAUUUUAAUGUCUCUGGCAACUUUAAGAGACCACAAAUGACCAAAGGUGAAUUGGAUAGUUCUUCACACUUUCUGUUGUUGUGAUACGGAAAAAUGAUGAGACCAUUUUGGUUGUUUGUGUAUGAGUGUACCGACAAAAUGUCAUUUUUGUUCUUUGUUAAUUAUAUUUCAGUACGGUGUGUGUGUGUGUGUGUGUGUGUGUGUGUGUGUUUGUUUGUGUGUGUGUGCAUGUACGUACGUGUGUGUAGGGGGUUGUGCACCAUGUGUUGCGUCUGGCAGACCGAACAGAAGGAGCAGAGAUAAUCAGACCUCUGUGAGUGUGUGUGUGUGUGUGUGUGUGUGUGUGUAAGGGUAUGGGUAUGGGGGGGAUGGGCAAAAGCUACCAUAUGGGUUUUGCUGUGGUCUGUGGUCAGGGAAGCCCACCACUCACAUUUCCUUUGGACAUUUGAGUUCAACAGGCUUUAGGGUCAAUACUUGUAUUUAUUUACAGUACUUUCAGCUGCAUUUAGCAAAUGACGAUAGAUAAACAUCACCUAGCAAAUCAUGUCCAUUUGCUAUUGGGGUGUAACCCACCUGACCCUAAGUAAAUUGUCUUUAUUCUUUCAAACUUAUCCACACCCACUUGCCUUGAGAGUAAUUCUAUCCAGUCUUAUCCAGCCCUCCAGGCACUAACAAUGCUUACAGUUAUCCACUGUUAGUCUUGCUGAACCCUUUCUUUUCUGAGGGUUGGGGUUAUUACAUUAUCACUUAUUCAUUUGGCAGAUGUUGUUGUUGUUUUUUUGUUUUGUUUUUGUUUGUUUUUUUCUAAACAAGUCCUUGUAUUUGAACUCAUACUCUACUGGACACUUCUGGACAUGAAGCGCGGAUUAGAAUCGAAUCAUUUUGUCGUUAAUUGACUGUGGGUUCCUCAGUGUUCUUUCACUUCACACGGACCUGACGUCAUUCACACUAGCACGCUGUUUUAUUUUUGGCUCUAUGGCAAUUUCAACCGCACACUGCGCUGUGCAGCCGCGACGCGAUUGGCUGAAACUUGGAGCUGCCGGAAGUCAAUCCCAGGACUCUGAUUGGCGGUCGCUGUCUUUGUGCGCGCGGCAGCUGCUUCUCUCGGCUGCAGUAUUUAGAAUGGUCGUGCUGAAUGACUGCAGAGACGCUCAGGGCUUGGGUGACUCUGAUUGGCUGAGGCUGGGGUUUCAGAAGACGUAUACGUGAUCGCUGAUUGGCUGGCGCUCUCUUUGUGCGCGCGGCGUCUCGGCAGCUGCGUUUUGAAUGGUCCUGCGUUUGAGAAGCCGAAAAGGCGUCCAUGGGCAAAAGGAGUCAGGAUGGUGUUAGUUCAUGUCGGAUAUCUGGUUCUUCCCGUGUUUGGUUCAGUAAGAAGCAGAGUCCGGAGGCCGCCGCCACAUGCCGCAUCACUCCGAUUCCUCUCUCUCUCUCUCUCUCCCUUUCCCUCUCUCUCUUUCUCUCAGUCUAUCUGUCUUCCUCUCUUCCAUUGUGUAGCUAUAGCGAUCGCCUCUCUGCCUGUGUUCUGCCUCCAUCCCCUCUUUCCAUCCGAAGACGACAUUGGCAUUUAAAAACCAAAACCAACCUUCUUCCCACUCAUCCGGUAUCCUUCUGUGUGCGACUGCAGAAUAACACACUCCUUUCUCUUCUUUUUGAGAAGACACCUCUGUCUCGGUUUCAAAACUGUCAUUGUUGAUGAUAACCCAUUGUAGCGGUCUACGAUGAUCAUUGUGAUUGUCCCAUUUGUUUGUUUGUUUGUUUGUUUAUUUAUUUAUUUAUUUUUGUCCCUCUCAGCAAUGGCAUAUUAUAGACUUGCAUUUUUUUAUUUUUUGUCCCUCAGCCUGUAAAUUUCUGUGAAGUGGAUGCGUUCGCUUCUCGUUCCUAGGUCGACCGGGGUUUGUUCCGUUAAGAUAUCCCGAUAGCCGAAGCUACGUACGAGCCGAUCGGGAUUCCUAAAUGCGAUCCACUUUUACAAAGCCGAGAUCGGUCAUCUCGGCCCGUCUUUUAAGGGUCGGGAGUUCAGGAACUCCGACCUUCGUGUCACGAGCACCGAACGGUAGCCACGAGUGUUCGUGUUAAACGGUAUGACGACGCUACGUCGGAAUACGUAUCACCGUAUCGCCGCAAGGCUUCGGCACACGGUUCCAAAUCGAUGAAAACGUACGUUCGGUCGAGCCGAGCUAACCCGAAAACCAUCCGAUUUGUUGAAUGUUUCCAAUCCGAGUGCCAUCGGUCUUUGUAGUGAAAGCUUUCCACUUUGAGUUUGAGUGAGGGAUUGAAGAUAUUAAAAGAUCACCAUGGUAAACUUCAACAGGGUAGUUAGUCGUUGUUUCUGCAGAUGGAACAAGAGUUUGAGGUGGGCAGGGUAUCUACAUAAUCCUCUGUCCUGAAGACUUUCCUGUGGCAGAAACGCUUACUGACCGUUACAAAGUGCCGACACCGGACACUCCUUCCAUAACAUCUGGAUGGUUGUACGUUUUUUCUUUUUUUCGUUUUUUAAUUGGGGAAAAUGUAUUGGCUUUUUAAUCCAAUUUCGUGUUACACUGGGUUUAUAUGGAGCAUCUGCCAUGUGAAUGUCCCUGGGAAAGAGUUGUUAUGAAUAAAUAUCAGAAAGACGAUGUUCAUAGAAACCUGUGGUUUUGCCUUGCAACCAGCACUGUCGUCAGAGCUGCCGUCAUAGAAAAGUAAUCAACACUUUCUGAGGAAUAAGACUGAGGAACGUGGCACCGUUGGGGUAUUAAAAAAAAAAAACGUAUCUAAAAGACCCCACUCCCACUGCGCUCCAUUCAGGAUGAGUCUUCUUAGGUAGUGUAAGCAGUGUUUGACCGUGCGAUAUAAAGCCUGUCUGUAAGUGUAGUCAUUUUAAUAUGCAGUAUUGUGGUGGUUGUCCUACACAGUCAGAAAAGAUUCGAAUUAAGACUUUGCGAAAUGCAAACCAAACAGGAAGCUUUCACUCUAAAGAUCUCGGGUAGACAUUCCUUAAACGUUCUGUUUACCUGAACUAAGCACACCCCCCUAAUUUCACCCCCUUUUUUUUUAAUUACUUUUAUUUCCGCUAACCAGUCCUCAUUUGUGUUUGGCCUUGCGCUAGUGUUCUCCGUGCCUCAAGCUUGGCCACCGUGAACGCCAUCCACGUUACAGGAAUCCCUAGACUUGCACUGCUGUAGAAAUCUUCCUAGAGUUUUGAAAUGUCUUUAUUUCUUUGGUUGUGGUUCUUGGCUUUCUGUUUGUGUAUUAGGCUCUUCAAUGCAUGAUCAUGUUUAUUUUUCAUUACUUAAAAGUUUUUAAGUUUCUUUUGACAUUUGAACAGCAAAUUCCAAUGUAUCUUUGUGUAGAGAUGUUCUGCUGUACUGAUAUGUGCUGUAGCAUACACAUCUACCCAUUGGAUGCUGCUUCUGUUCUUUUAACCUUUUGGAGCAUGGUUGGCUCUUCUUUUUUUUUUAAUUAUUAUUAUUUGCAUGGAAAUAUUCCUCUUAUUAUUCGUAUCACAUGGUUCCACUCAUACUAAUAUUUUCCAAUAAAGACUGUAGUUUUUUUCCUUAACCUUCAGUGUGUUCUCUGCUGAUUUCCAUGUGACCUCCCUUCAAACCCCAACCCCCUUACCAGUUAUUUGGCCUCUUUGGCCCCUCCCCCCCAAUAUUCAUUUCUCAGCUCCUCUCACUUGCCAAGCUGAAUCAUGGGAAACAUACCGUCACAGAAAAUUUAGCCGAUCUCUUCACAUCCACUUAGUCCACAAACAUCUCCAUUUGCAUCUGUCUCUCUUUUUAAUUUAAUUUUUUUGUUGUUAUUUAUCUCCCUAUUUCUCUCCUCUGUAAGCACAUGAUCCUUUUGUGUUACAAACAUGGCUAAAAGUUUUGGAUGCCUCAUUUCCAAAUUUCAAGCUAAUGUUUUUCAUACGUUUCGGUCUGGAAGUGAAUCUUUUUUUUUUUUUAAUCAAAAGUAAGAGUUUUAUUUCAGCAAUUUUUAUUUCACUAGUGUUCAAUAAUAGAAAAUGAACAUUUUCCACAUUUUAUAUACAUUUAUAUACAACUUGGAAUUGAAAUGGACGUAAUUUGGAUUAUACUCUAUAUUGGCAUAAGCUUUUGGACUCCUAUAUCCGUAUAGUUUGCAAAAUUAUGAAUAAAUAAAUUUUAAAAAAAGGUUAAUGUUAUGAUUGCGCAAUAUUAAUCCCUGUUGCUGAGAAACCCCCUAAAUUAGUUCUCGUGCAACCAUCACUAGAUGGUCACGUAAUUAGUUGAAUGGAGUCUACCUGUGUGCAAUUAAAAUGACUUAUGGUCUCAAUAUGAAUACACCUGUUUUGGAAAGGCCCCCCGUAUCUGUACCUGAACAAACGGUGACACGAAGAUCGCUGUGUCCUCAAAAAGAGUUCCGGGUCAAAGUUUUGGAAAAGUAUCAAUUAGAAUUUGCUUAUGAACUGAUCCCCAAAAUAUCCAUUAUUAAAAUAUGGGAAGAAUGUGGCACACCUGCAGGUCUGCCUAGAUAAGCUGUCCAGUGAAAAGCCAGUGACAGGGUAUGGAGGACAUUAGAUAGAGAUGCAAGCAAGAGACGCCAAGGCCAAAAAGAUCAAAUCUGCCCCAACAGGAUAAUCUAGCUACGUGUCGGUCGAGUGGACGAUAUGCCUUUUGGCAAACCCAAAUGAGGAUUUCAAAUGACUUGCUAUUCUUUCGUAAAGCCCAGAUUUGUGGAGCGUCCAUGGUAUGAAUGGCCUCUGUUUCUCCCAUCGGAGCUGUCGAUCUCUCCUGCUCCUUCAGUGUUCUCCUUAGCAUCUAGCUUGCGUCUCUAAGUAAACUUCAAUAUUAUGGGCCUUUUUUUUUUUUUUUUUUUUGGUAUAUUCAUGACACAUAAUUCCAGUUAAGUCCAUGUCCGUUCCAAGUUGUAACAAAAUAUGGAAAAGUUCAAGGGGAGUAAACGCUUAUGCAAGACACUGCACACAGUUCUCCUGUGACAAUAUUACAGUAAGUGUUUCUACACUCCUGGCAGUACAACCCCGUUUAGAACACCACAAAAAACACUUGGGUAAGGUCAUCUAACCUGACAUUUAAAGACAGUCGCCAAAUUUGAAGGCGGUACGUAACGCAAGCCAGUGCCUGUCUUCUCCACAAAAGCGGAAAAUGUUAUUUCAAGUCAGAUAGAACUGCAUUGUCAUUCCAGCUAUACAGUCAUGUGAAAAAAUAAGUACACCCUAUGGAAAUUGUUGGGGUUUUUUUUGACCUAUUUGGACAAGCAAACAUUUGAUCCUCUUUGAAACAGCGCCUAUUAAUAAAGGUGUUACACUCUAUCGAAUGACACACAACUGACAUUUUGUAGUCAUUUUCACAAUUUGAAAAAAAAACUAAAACUGAUCAGUCAGAUGGAAAAAGUAAGUACACACCUACAUUUUCACACCUUUAAAUCCAUACAAUUAGAAUCAGGUGUUCAGGAUUGGGUGCCAGUGAUUAGAACCUGCUUACGAAGUGCAGGUGGAACCUGUGUUUAUAUUUAUACCCCUCUCUCAUAUCUAGUGUCUGGUGUUCCCUUUGUUAUUGAGGUGUGUGGUGUCAUCAUGCCAAGAUCUAAAGAGUUCUGUAAGACCCUCAGAAAAAAGCUUGUGGAUGCUUAUGAGUCUGGUAAGGGAUUUAAAAUGAUCUCCAAAUUAUUUGACAUACAUCAUUCCACUGUAAGGAAAAUAAUCGACAAAUGGCGCAGAUUUCAAACGACUGGUAAUUUGUCCAGGACCGGCCGUCCCAGCAAAUUCAAGAACCCCAAAAUUUCAUCACAAGAUCUGCUUGUAAGUCUAGCAAUUGUUGGUGUCAAAGUGCAGGCUUCUACAGUCAGAAAGAGAUUGCACAAAUUUGAUCUGUAUGGGAGGUGUUUCGUCUGUUUCUGGACAGACGAAUCAAACAUAGAGCUGUUUGGACACAGUAACAUCAGACAUGUUUGACGCAGAACAAAGACAGCUUUUCAGGAGAAGCACCUCAUACCAACUGUGUAGCACGGUGGAGGAAAUGUUAUGGUUUGGGGUUGCUUCACUGCCUCAGGCACUGGACAGCUGGCAUUCAUUGAUUCAACUGUGAAUUCUGCAUCAUAUCAAAGAGUGCUUGAAGAUAAUGUGAGGCCAUGUGUCCGAAAGUUCAAGUUGAACCAAAAGUGGACUUUUAAACAUAAACAUAAUGAUAAUGAUCCUAAACACACGAGCAAAUCCACCAAGGAAUGUCUCAAAAAGAAGAAACGGAGCGUCAUGGUAUGGCCUAGUCAAAGCCCGGAUUUGGAUCCCAUUGAAACGUGGGGGGGAUUUGAAACGGGCCGUACAUGCAAGAAAACCCUCAAACAUCUUGUAACUGAAACAAUAUUACAUGGAAGAGUGGUCAAAAACUCCUAGAAGCCUGGUGGACAAUUACACAAAACUCCUACAAGACGUUAUUUCUGCUAAAGGGGGCAAUACUAGCUUCUGAGGCCAAGAGUGUACUUACUUUUCCCACAGAAGAAUAUCACAUCUAUUGAUAUUUCUGUUGAAGAAAUGAUUGAAAAAGCUUAUUUUCCUU
Ictalurus furcatus (blue catfish) is the source of this 7976-nucleotide RNA transcript. It is a transcript of the gene named ring finger protein 165a, with no coding region annotated. The record is from RefSeq and is a predicted model, not a curated record. NCBI's taxonomy places the organism in Eukaryota, Metazoa, Chordata, Actinopteri, Siluriformes, Ictaluridae. The transcript is spliced from 2 exons.